Molecule: long non-coding RNA, 237 nt
Filed under: Populus tremula
Lineage: Eukaryota; Viridiplantae; Streptophyta; Magnoliopsida; Malpighiales; Salicaceae
Description: long non-coding RNA (PTRE_LNC000232)
Source: RNAcentral
UCAGAUAUUAAUAAUUUGUAAGAUGAUUUAUCUUAAUAUACAUAUACAUAUACUUACUAAACAUAAUAUCAUAACGUAACAUAUUAUCAUAACGUAGUGGAUUACAUGUCAGAGAUCAGAUGACACCCGAAGGUGACCAGAUGACACCCAAAGGUGACCAGAUGACACCCGAAGGUGACCAGAUGACACCCGUCGGUGACCACUGUGGGAUGAUCAAUCGCCACAGGCUGAUGCCUC